This is a non-coding RNA of Podarcis lilfordi (Lilford's wall lizard), 6538 nucleotides long. The record is from the annotation of a GenBank genome assembly. Lineage: Eukaryota; Metazoa; Chordata; Lepidosauria; Squamata; Lacertidae.
GGGCCUUUGGUCAGAUGAACAAGCCACUUGCAUCCAUUGUAACCAGGCUCAGAUUAGGCCAAUAAUCUGCUGUAGAUUAAGGCUUUAUUCUUUGAUUACAUUUCUAUCCCACCAUUUCCCCAAGGAACUCCAGGUGGUGCCCAGUAUUAUUCCCCACUCCCCUUUUCAUCCUCACAACACCCCUGUGAGGUGGGUUAGAAAUGAGGGGGCAGUGGCGGACCCAAGGUCAAGCGCCGGGUUUCACGGUUUAGUAGGAAUUUGAACUCUGUUCUCUCUCAGCUCCUAGGCCACCACUCUAACCACUACACCACACUGUCUCCCAGGAGGUCUCUCAUCCUGGCACUGAACAGACCCAAGACCUGUAUUCAUAUCCUGUUGCUGUUUUUUAACAAAAUUUAACAAGGCUGCUUUCGUUUUUCGCUUUAAAAAAGAAACUCUUCAUUGGGGACGUCGUCUCCUUUAAAGGCUCCUGACUGCCGCUUCCUUCUGCAUUCGGAACCCAGAGCGGAAGGGAAAAGGUCACUGUCCCUUUAAGGCCGCCGCACGCCAGCGAACAUUCCAAGCUCUCCCCGUCCCUCUUUAGCGCGUCAGCGGCAUUCCGGGAAGAGGUCGGCGUCGGCCCCUCUCCGUCCUUGACAAGAGGGGCGGGCGGCGACGCGAAACAAAGAAAUAUUCGCGUCGCGAAAGAGGAGGAAAGAGGAUUCAGAGCGCCGUCGCUUGCGCCCGAGCGCUUUCUGAGCGCUACGGCAAGCGACGAGCCCCCUUGCCCAUCCGCACUCCUCAGAACUGGCAGGCCCGCCGCCGGGAGAUGACUCAUGAGGGGGCGUGGCUGCAAAUCCCUGUUUCCUUCUCUCGUGCUAUGACUCAUCGUUGACCGCGGAAGCCCCCCGCGCACGCGCAGCAGUGCCGUCUAUUUAUAAACCGGCCCAAGGAGGGUGAGUGAUGUCAUGCAGGCGGCAGUUGGGCAGCGACCGAGAUUCGGUCUCGCCCCGCCUGUUGCCUAGCGCCCUAGCGGUGUUUACUCUGCUGGGGGCCGCAGGUUGCCUGGCAACCGCGCCAGGCCGCAUGAGAGCGGGAGGGCUGUGGAGGGGGGUGGGACCCUUAAGCAAAGGCCGCUCAAGAGGGGGACGAAAAGAAAUAGGCCCUUAAAACCCUUUAGGGCUUCUGCUCAUGCCCAGGAACACUUCCCUCAUGUUGUUGGUUUUAUUUAGAGGGGUUUUUGUCCUGCUUUUCAGCCCAUAAAGAGUCCCAGGGUGGCUUACAUAUGUCAAUAAUAAGCAUCAUCAUGCGUAUUAUAUAACACAUAUAUAGCUAGGUGUAUUCUCCAUGACAACUUUAAAGUUUCUUUUUAAAUAGUCCCAGGGAGGAAUAGUAAAGCAGGUUCAUAUAGUUGGGUUGGGAUGAGGCAAGGCGUUCUAAUUUAUUGAAAGGCAUGAAGCAAAGUUAUUUAUGCUGGGUCAAAGAGUUUCGCUUCUUUUUGCCUAAAAUACAGUGGAAUGUUGGAUUAAUGUGUUUUUUAGUAUAUUUUAGUAUACUAUGUUUCUAAAGAAAUGUUAAUAUGAAUGAGUUUUGGUAUUAUGUGUUAGGUUUAUUUGUAAUGGAUGAUUAUGUGUGAUUAAAAACCAAUACAAAAAUCAAAAAGUUCUGGGCCGAUAUCAUGCCUUUAAACAUAUCUAUGGUGUGACCGCAUUUGAAAGACUGUAUAAUUCUGGUUGCCUCACCUUCCAAAGGAUAAGGUAGAAUUGGAAAGGGUUCAGAGAAGGUUAAUCAAAAUAAUCAAGGGAAUGGAGUGACUCUCUUAGCCAUCAUGGUGGCUAUGAUCAGUCUCCAUGGUUAGAGACAGCAGCGCUUCUGAAUAUUGCUGGAAACCACAUGUUCGGAUGCUGCUUUUGGGUUUUCUACAGGCAGCUGGCUGGCCACAGAGAGCAGGAUGCUGGACUAGUUGGGCCAUUGGCCUGAUCCAGCAGGUUCCUCUUAAGUUCUUAUGACUGAUUUGCCUUGAAUUAAGACCUGGCAGCAUUCUCUGUGAGUGGAAAAACAUGGUCAUUGUGGCACACAAAAAAAAUUAUACAGUGGUACCUCGGGUUAAGUACUUAAUUCGUUCCGGAGGUCCGUUCUUAACCUGAAACUGUUCUUAACCUGAAGCACCACUUUAGCUAAUGGGACCUCCUGCUGCUGCCACGCCGCCGGAGCACGAUUUCUGUUCUCAUCCUGAAGAAAAGUUUUUAACCUGAAGCACUAUUUCUGGGUUAGCAGAGUCUGUAACCUGAAGCGUAUGUAACCUGAGGUACCACUGUAAUAGGUUUGGUUGUACCACGUGAUGAAUGUUUAAGAUGGAAUCCCAGUAGAAUAUUAAAAUUUAUUAUUUAUUACAACAUUUUAAAUCAGUAUACAUCUGUAAAAAGACAUGAGAAAUGGACCUUUAGGAAGGCAGGAAACAAAAUGAAACCCGAGGAACGUGGGACCUGGGGUCAGAUGAAGCAAGAUUAGGAAAGAGGGAUGAUGAAACUGCAGGAAAAGGGAAAGAGCAGUGGUUCUAGGAAAGGAAGAGUGGAAGAAAAGUUGAUAGAGGAAAGAGCUAAGAUGAAUCUGAUGAGAGUUAAUCUUAGUUCCUUUACUAUCUCUGUCAAUCAGAAAAGCAGCUGUAAAAUACAAGUGGCCUGUGGUUCACACAGAUGUGUGAAAUUCAAGAGAGAAAUGGAGCUAUUCAUAGAUACUGAAGGCAUGGACUAUAGAAAUAAACAAAUUCAAUUUGUCUGUUAUUUUUCACUGUCAGCUUCCCCAGUGUUCUGCUCAUGCUCAGCCCUCAAGCAUUUUCAGCGUUGUUUGGAGCCAACGGAAUGGCUUGGUGCCUUGGUGGUGAGCCUUGCUGUUGAAUUCACAGGGAGGAUUUUUUGUGUAUUUGAUGUGCCACCUGUAGUGACUUGAGACAAUUGAAUCUGGGCAGCCUUGUCACGCCCUCAAGGAAUGGAUAGGACAUGGGAUUUGUAUGUAAGUGUUUGGGAUCGUGCAGGUCCGAUUGCGUAAAAGACAAGAAAGGAGUAAUAAUAAAGGUUCCUAGAUUUACGGUUUUUAUGGCUGUGUCCUGCUCUGUUGAUGUCUUAGAGCCAGUUAGAUCCUUCAGUAUGGGGUUGCUUAAUCAAUUGUGCAAAACAUGGAGCUCCGAUGUCUUACUUUUAUUCCCAGGAUAGACUAUAAAAGUAACAAAUUACUUCUAACCAGAUUGAAAAGAUUGAUUUUUUUAAGAAUUAGAAGUAAGGGGGAAAAUAGUGCUGCCAGUUUUUCCAAUUGCUUUCUUUGGACGUGAUUGUUAAUUUUCCUUGAUAUAUUGAGCUCUAUAAAUCUAUGUUUGUCGCCAUGUCUUUAAAUAAUACAUAUUAACCACAGAUGAAUUGAAAACUGCAUCAGAACAGCAAGGCUUCUUGGUCAAGGGCUGUUCAUUUUGCUUCUGACACUUUGUGGGGGCCUUUAUUUGUAAAUAAAAACCGCUAAUGCCAUGUAAUAUCAUGUAAAAUAGAGAUUUGUAAUUCAGUAAUAAUAAAAGAGAAGUGCCCCAUAUUAAGGACAUAGGAUGAAUUCCAGUGUGGUAGUUCCACUAAUGGAAUGGCUUUUGACCCAAUAGAAGUGUCUGGUAACAGAAAAGGAGAGGAGAUGAUUCUCCUGGAUUUCAGCUAUCUACAUCAUCUGGAGGAUCCCCCAACUGUCUGGAACAGGUUUUGUGGAGGGUCUGCAGUGGGAAGGGGGAAAUGGAGAAAAUUGCCUCCCUGCUUAACAUUAGUGAAUGGCUCUGUUAGAUCAAAAGUUGUUCUGUGCGUGGGACAGCAGCCUUGGAUUUCAUCCAACAGAGGCUGCUUUAUACCCAGACAGACUGUUGAUUCAUGUAGGCAAAGAAUUAAGGCUGCACUCCUUAACGUAUGUCCUGGGGCGUGAGUACCAUUGGACUUAAUACUAAGUAAGAAGUGCAUAGAAUUGCACUGCCAGUGUUACCAAAUUAGUGAUGAAGCCCCUACAAAGUGUGUGACACUAUUCAGCCCCUAUGAUACUGUGUAGCAAAUCCCUCUUAAGACACCUGUUCAACCUUCAUUCUUUUCUGUUGUCAAGAGCUGCAGUAGGGUUUGGUCAUCCAUGAAGAAAUAAUGUUUUGGGUACAUUUUCUUUUGGUUCCUUUAUUUAUGUGCCUGUGGGCAGGGGCUUGGAAGAGGAGAAGGAAAAGCUUCAUUUUUCCACAUGUAAUAUUCUGGGAUUGCCAAGUCCUAGGAGCUAUUAUGUUGAUGUAAUUGCCUCCUUCCUGUUCCUGGCUACGUAAAUAGAAUAGACAUUUGGAUCACCCGUGAUUCUUCUAAUUUUAGUCCCUAUUUCUCAAUUUUGUGACAAAAGACAGUGCUGAUAAGAUCUCUGAGAGUUUUCACGUGGGUCUCUCAUUUCUUAGUUUCCAAAAGCAGAAAACUGGAGAUCCACAUGUUCGUAUCAGGAGCUGAAGUUGAAUAUUAACUUGAAUCUUGCAGGCCAGCUCUUUUCCACUCCAGACAAAAUGUGAGUCUACUGAAAGCUACUGAGAAUGUUUUUAUUCCAGUAGCUUUUCAUGUGACAGAAGGUGAAGGACAGUGCAACAGUGGCCGAAACCAAACUGCAACCACUCAGAAUGUAGAAAUCUUGGGGUCUCAUUAGCAGUUUUCUUUUUUUAAAAAAAUCUGAAUGUAUUGUUGUACUUUCAUAAAAUCAUUCUUAUCAAUUUCACCAGUAUGAGUUUCCCUCUAACUUUAAAAGGGCAUGCAUUUGUAUCUGCACUGGAGCUGUUAAAAAGAAGAAAAGGAAACACUGCUAAAAUUGAUGCUUCACCACAAUCUAAGCAGCGAAAAGAAGGAAUAAUUGAAUUGGUGAAAUUAACAAGGUUUCCCGGUUUUCCCAAAGGGAAAUGGGAGGGGCUGACCAUCAGUACAGAAAGGCAUUAAUGUAACCAGCCAUGUCAUGAUGGGACUAUAUCCAAGUACACUCAUAGGGCAGCAUGGGCAAACGUCUAGUGUAGGCAAUGAGGGCAGGGGAGGACAAUGGCUUCUGCAGUAGCUGGAGGAGUGUCAUGACCUUGAAAGAGGGGGAAACUGAAGUUUUUAAAGGCCACAUGAACUGAAGUGAGGAAAGAUUCCCCAACGAUCAUCAAAGUACUUCAAAAUGUACAUGUGAUUUCAGUUUAAACUACAGUACUGCCUCUUUAACUUAUUGCAACUUCACCUAAGGGCCAGGCAAUGGCUGCUAUUGAAUCUGACUGGGAAUAUAAGGGUUUAGUUGAGCUUUGCACUUUGGCAGAGGAGUGCUGGCAAUCCUUCUGAGUUCUCCCAAGUCCUACAGAACUCUACGCUAGCCUGCUUAUUCAGAAAGCUUCUGUAUUGGAUUCCUGCUCCUUGUUUCAUAAGCAUCCAGCUACCUGCUGCCAGUCACCCUAUGCUCCAGGCUGUUUCCUUUGAGCAUUAAGUAGGCUCAUGUAGGAUUACAGCUUAUAAUACCUACUUCAACGUAAGCCCCAUUGACUUCAAUGGGACUUACUCCAGUGUGUGUGAAUAGAAUUGCGCUUUAAAUUUGCAUAAGCCACAGCACAAACGCAUCAGCAAAUGACCAUGUAUCAUUGAAGGCAAUGCUGUAAAACGGAUGGGGAACCUGUCACCCUCCAGAUAUUGCUGGACCACAAUUCCCACCAUCCCUGAUCAUUGGACAUAUUGACCGGGCUGGUGGGAGUUAAAGUCUAAUAUCUGGAGAGCCACAGGUUCACCACCUUGCUAUAAAAUACUGUAUGCACUAGUUUGCCUCUCGUUUACUUACUGCUAAUCUUAGUGCAUUUGUUUUACAGUCCAUGCUUCUUCCUCUAAACUCUUAUAUUAAGUUUUAUUUAAACAACAACAACAACAAAAAACCAGUUUCCAUUGCUUGAUACACAUGCACAUUUGGUAAGGCUUGCCCAAUAGGCAAUAUGACAAGAUAUUAGGAUGUGUUCAGGAAUGUACAUGGUGACUUCUUCUGCACAAGAAAUUUUCCAAGCGUAGCGAUGACUAUCUUUACCUAUCUUAAAAUGGUUUACAAUUAAAGAAAAUGGGACCGGCCCUAAUAAUAGAGGAGAUGCUGGACAAUGGCCAAAGGUCGAAGAUAUUUAAGAGUUUUGUGUGGAUCAGUUGUGGAUAAAUGUACGAUCUCUCACAUGCUGGGAAGCUGAGUUGUAACUAGGCACAUAUCACUGGAUGUGGUGUGCGGUGUACAUUUUUUCAUGCUGUACUUGGUGUAAGAUGAAGUGAAAAACACCCAUCUGGACAAGCCCUUUGGAUCUGAUGUUAAUGGGUUGGUUAAAGUCAGCCCCAGGCAAGAACAAGUCAGAGACAGAUUAAUACGUCCUGGGCUUUGAGAGAGUGGAGAAACUAGACUUUGAGAGGGGGUGGGUGAGUUUGAUGUCUCUUGAUCAUUCAGGUUCAUAGUCUUAAGGUUCUGCUACAUCUAUUGCUGAACUCAAAUCUUUACACAGGGAAGAAGAUCGUGUGGAUUUCUGGAUGAUGCA